UAAGUGAAACUCUGUUUGAUUUGUCCUGUAGUGGUAAUUAGUGUGCAGAAUUUUGAUUAAUUGUUGUUAGAUUGCAUAAUGAUGACCUGCUAGGCUUUUACCUUAUUGGAUGUUGCAGGAUUUAUUCAAUGAUGAUGACCUGUUACUACAGGUUUAGCAAGGUGAUAGCAUGUUGAGUGGUUAGGUUUUGGAGCAACUUUGAGCAAUGAUAUUGUAUCCCUGCUUCAAGUCUGUAUGGUUUUUUCUCUUCCAAUUUCUGUUGAAACUCAAAACUGAUCAUGUUGGGGCUAUUAUGACAUGUGAAUAGAUGUUGUUAAUAACUAGGCUGAACAUCCAAAUCAGGCCACAGAUAUGAAGUUAUGCAUAUGGAUGACACUUGAAGAAAAUUGCCAUGGGAAAUUAGGGACGUAAGAAGAUGGUAGAUUAGGACUAGUUUUGAUCAUGUUGAAGAUUUGAAAUGGUUUAAUACGAAGUUAUGCAAUGAAUUAUGUAUGGUUGUAAUGUACAUGUAAUUUGUAAUUCCAAUGGGAUUGAAUGCAUGAAGUAGUGGAUUAGUGGUAAUAGAAAUGUGAAUUAGUUUGAAAAUUUUAAUUUUUGGGUUGCAGUUGUAUUGGUGAAUGGAAGUGUAUGGUUGAAUGUUUAUGGUUAGGUGUGUUUACAUGUAUGAAGAUAUUGAAUCAAAUACAAAAUGGAAUUUGGAUCA
Long non-coding RNA from Lathyrus oleraceus (garden pea), 703 nucleotides. RefSeq lists it as uncharacterized. The transcript is spliced from 2 exons. Lineage: Eukaryota; Viridiplantae; Streptophyta; Magnoliopsida; Fabales; Fabaceae. The record is from RefSeq and is a predicted model, not a curated record.